UAAGAAUAAUUUUAUAUAUUUAAUAUAAAAACCCUUACUAGUUAAAAAUACAAGGGAAGCACAAAUUCCUUAAAUUCACAAUGCUGUUAUUAAAUUCAUACUGAAAACUCAGAGGCGAAACCAUUCUCUUGUUCAUCAACUUAAUAGCUACACUUAAAUAAUCUUACUUAAUAAGGAUAAUUAUAAUAAGUUGUUUCAUAAGUGAACGCGUUCGGAGUGCCACCUUGAGACCACUUAAUGCUAGCAUACAGAGUUCCUGGCAUGUUAACGGGGAAACCAUUAUUAGUUGCCGUUGUGGGAUAAGAAAACAUAUGCGGGUUGUGAACUUGGGACGUCCAAAUGCCGUUGUUGGAGAAACCAUGAUUAGUUGCGGUUGCCCAUUGUUGAUUGGGAAAUUGCCCUGGCAUAAUGACAUUGUUGGUUUCUGGACUGAUAGCAGACUUGGACACCUUAGGUUGGAGGUUGUGGACAUGCCUUGCAAUGGUCAGCUGCAGUUGCUCCUUGUUGGCACCCACAACCUUGCCAACUAUUUUUCCUUCUUUCAAGAACAUAAAAGUUGGCAUUGCCUCAACAGCCCAAUCCUCAGCGACAGACUUCAAUUCAUCCACAUCCACCUUCAAGAAUAUAACAUUGGGCAUCUUCUUGGCCAACUCUGCCAGAAUUGGAUUGAUGAGACGACAUGGCCCACACCAGGAAGCAGUAAAAUCCACCACAAUCAGUUUCUUGCUCCCCUGUCCCUUAUCGAGCUGAUCGGUCCAAGCCUCAACGGUGUGGCAGGAAAUCACCUGUCCCUCUUCAGCCAUUUUCUCUGUUUUAGCUUCCUCUAAAUUGAGAAUCUCAAACGAAGCGAGGUAUCUAUCUUUCUCGUAUUUAACGAUCCUUAUAACAUUAAUACUUUCCUUCGAU
RNAcentral lists this unclassified non-coding RNA (906 nucleotides) under Hevea brasiliensis (rubber tree). Lineage: Eukaryota; Viridiplantae; Streptophyta; Magnoliopsida; Malpighiales; Euphorbiaceae. The record is from RNAcentral.